Molecule: non-coding RNA, 46 nt
Filed under: Schistosoma mansoni
Lineage: Eukaryota; Metazoa; Platyhelminthes; Trematoda; Strigeidida; Schistosomatidae
Source: RNAcentral
GUUCUGCUGAUGAGUCCCAUAAUAGGACGAAAUGGCCGUCCAGUGC